RNAcentral lists this long non-coding RNA (3460 nucleotides) under Sus scrofa (pig). RNAcentral describes it as "lncRNA (ENSSSCG00000052824.1)". Lineage: Eukaryota; Metazoa; Chordata; Mammalia; Artiodactyla; Suidae. The record is from RNAcentral.
AUAAAAAGUAAGUAAAUAAAAGAAAGCUCUCAAUUUGAGAAAGUCUACAAGUCAUGUUGUUUACUUAACCAACAAACAUUACUCUCACCUGACCUUCACAUGUGUUUUAUAUGGAUAGGGUGCUUUAACAUAACCAAGAACCUGUUUUUAAGUUGGACAGAGCAAUUAGGGGAUGAGGGCUUUGGGUGUGGUCUUUUGGUAUCUGGCAGACAACUAUUUAAUGCCUGCCCUGCUUCUCACCCUGUGAUCUUGGACAAGUUACUGAAUUCCUCUAAGCCUCAAUUUCCUAAUCUAAAGAAUGGAGAUAAUUGCUAUAUAGCACUUGUCACAUUGCAUUGUUGAGAGGACUAACUGAGGUCAGGUAAAUAAAAUGCUGAGCAUAGUGCCAAGCCACAUAAAAGGCCGUAUCGGAAGUGAUGUUAAUGAAGCUGAUAACACCACCUGUGAUGGGUCACUCAACGCAUCCACAAGACGGGCUGAGGAAUGCCCAGAGAGCUGGUAAAACAUUAUUCUUGGGUGUGUCUGUGAAGGUGUUUUCAGAAGAGAUUAGCAUUUGAAUUGGGAAACUGAAUAAAGAAGAUGGCCCACACUAAUGUGGAGGGGUAUCAUCGAGUCUCUUGAAGGCUUGGAUAGAACAACAACAACAAAAUAGGUGAAGCAAGGAAGAAUCUAUUCUUGGCUGCAGCUGGGACAUCUUGCCCUCAGACAUCUGCACUCCUAGUUUUUUGGACCUUUGAACAUAGACCACAUAACACCACAGGUUCUUCUGGGUCUCCAGUUUGCAGAUGGCAGAUUGUGGGGAUUCUCAGUCUCUACAACUACAUGAGCCAAUUCAUAUGUGUGUAUAUCUAUGUAUCAGUCUCUCUGGAUAGAUCUAUCUUCCAUUGGUUCUGUUUUUCUGGAGAACCCUACUACACCACCACUAUGCUUGGUUUUCCCCUUCUUGUGUAGACUGAGCAGAACAGACUAUGUGAUGAUCGGGAAUAUGAGAUUAUUAUCAUUAGACACAUUUAAAAAAAGAAAAACCAUAACUAGAUCAGUGAAUAUAUAAAACCCUUCAUAGAUGCAUUUAUAAUGCAGCAAAUGGAAUGUAGCAAAGGUUUGAUUACUGUGAAGGUAUUUAUUGGUGAAAUACUCAAAGGCAUGAAAAUUACUUUUUUUGUCAGGAUCACUUUAAUAAACCAGGUGUGUGUGCAUGUGCAUGCGCAUGUACGUGUGUGUGUGUGCGCAUGUGUGAACAUGUGUCUCUGUAAGAGAUAUAUUACAUGUGAGGAUGGAAUUUUUAGCCAUGGAUUGAAAAGGGUAAGGAUAUCACAUGAUUGUGGUUUUUAGGAUGAUUUUAGUGUCAAUAACAAGGAGUGCCCUCUCCCUUCUGCUAUAACGAACAUGGUUGUAAUUCAAGAGGAGUUUAUGGAACAAUAAUUUCUACACUGAUUGGGGGAAAUCUAUGUAAUGGUUGAAAACUUAAGACCCUGGUAAUUUACUGCAUCUUGUGAUAUCAAAUGGACAAUUUUUUAAUUUAAUUCAAGUAUUGUUGAGAUACAAUAUUAUAUGUUUCAAGUGUACAAUGUAGUGAUUCACAAUUUUAAAGGUUAUACUCCAUUUACAAUUAUUACAAAAUAUUGGCUACAUUCCCUGUGUUGGACAAUACGUCUUUGUAGCUUAUUUAUUUUGUACAUAGCAGGUUGUACCUCCUAAUUCCUUACCCCAUCUUGUCCCCUCCCCCCUUCUCUUGGCCUAUUGGUAAUCACUAAUUUGUUCUUUAUAUCUGUGGUCUGCUUCUUUUUUGUUAUAUUCAGUAGUUUGUUCUAUGUUUUAGAUUCCACAUAUAAGUGAUAUCAUAUAGUCUUCGUAUUUUUCUGCCUGAGUUAUUUUAAUUAGCAUAAUAUCCUCUAAGUCCAUUCAUGCUGCAAGUGACAACAUUUCUUUCUUUUUUAUGGCUCUGGAGUAUUCCAUUGUACAUAUAUACAUCUUUAUCCAUUCAUCUUUUUGGCUUUUUUCUUAAUAAUGCCAUUAGAGUAUAAGUGACUUGAAAGUUGUGUUAGUUUUAACUUUUCAAGGUGUAUAGCAAAGUAAAUAAGUUAUACACAUAAAUAUACCCAUUCCUUUUCAGAUGCUUUUCCCAUAUAGGUUAUCACAUAGUAUUGAGUAGCUUACCCUGUGCUAUAAAGUAGGUCGUUGUUACAUAUCUAUUUUAUAUACAGUAAUGUAUAUAUGCCUAUCCCAACCCCCAAUUUAUCUUUUCCAUCCCAAAUUUCCCCUGUGGUAAACCAUAAAUUUGGUUUUAAAAUCUUUGAGUCUUUUUCUGUUUUGAAAGUUCUUUUGUAUCAUUUUUUGUUACAUUCUCCACAUUAAUGAUUUCAUAUGAUAUUUAUAUUUCUCUGUCUGACUUACUCCACUUAGUAUGAUAAUUUCUAGGUCCAUCCAUGCUGCUGCAAAUGGCAUUCUUUCUUUUUUUAUGGCUGAGUAAUAUCCCAUUGUAUAUAUGUACCACAUCUUCUUUAUCCAGUCCUUUGUUAAUGGGCAUUUAGGUUGCUUCCACAUGUUGGCUACUGUAAAUAGUGCUGCAGUGAACAUUGGGGUGCAUGUAUUUUUUCAAAUUAUGGUAUUCUCUGGAAAUAGGCCAGAAGUGGGAUUUCUGGAUUUUAUGUAUUUUAGUUUUUUAAGGAACCUCCAUACCGUUCUCCAUAGUUGUUGCACCAGCUUACAUUCCCACCAACCGUGUAGGAGGGUUCCCUUUUCUCCACACUCUAUAUAGCACUUAUUCUUUGUAGAUUUUUUGAUGAUGGUCAUUCUGACUGGUGUGAGGUUUUAUAUCUCAUUGUAGUUUUUUUUUUUUUUUUUUUUUUUUUUUUUUUUUUUGUUUUUUGUUUUUUUGUCUUUUGCUAUUUCUUUGGGCCGCUCCCGCGGCAUAUGGAGGUUCCCAGGCCAGGGGUCGAAUCGGAGCUGUAGCCACCGGCCUACACCAGAGCCACAGCAACACGGGAUCCGAGCCGCGUCUGCAACCUACACCACAGCUCACGGCAACGCCAGAUCGUUAACCCACUGAGCAAGGGCAGGGACCGAACCCGCAACCUCAUGGUUCCUAGUCGGAUUCGUUAACCACUGCGCCACGACGGGAACUCCUCAUUGUAGUUUUGAUUUGAAUUUCUCUAAUAAUUAGUGACAUGAACAUCUUUUUAUGUGUUUUUUUGGCCAUCUGUAUGUCUUCUUUGGAGAAAUGUCUAUUUAGAUCUUUUGCCCACCUUUUGAUUGGGUUGUUAAUUUUUUUUGAUAUUUAUCUGCAUAACCUGUUGGUAUAUUUUGGAGAUUAAUCCCUUGUCAGUCACUACAUUUGCAAGUAUUUUCUCCCAUCCUGUGGGUUGUCUUUUCAUUUUGUUUAUGGUUUCCUUUGCUGUGCAAAAACUUUUAAGUUUAAUUAGGUCCCAUUUGUUUAUUUUUGUUUUUAUUUUCAUUACUC